This 449-nucleotide ribosomal RNA is filed under the name uncultured Eubacteriales bacterium. RNAcentral describes it as "bacterial SSU rRNA". It matches the Rfam family "Bacterial small subunit ribosomal RNA", at positions 917 to 1370 of the family's 1533-position model. Lineage: Bacteria; Bacillati; Bacillota; Clostridia; Eubacteriales. The record is from RNAcentral.
GGACCCGCACAAGCAGCGGAGCAUGUGGUUUAAUUCGAAGCAACGCGAAGAACCUUACCUGGGCUUGACAUCCCCCUGACAGACGGGUAACGCCGUUUUUCUUCGGACAGGGGAGACAGGUGGUGCAUGGUUGUCGUCAGCUCGUGUCGUGAGAUGUUGGGUUAAGUCCCGCAACGAGCGCAACCCUUGCCGUCAGUUGCCAUCAUUAAGUUGGGAAUUCUGGCGGGACUGCCGGGGACGACCCGGAGGAAGGCGGGGAUGACGUCAAAUCAUCAUGCCCCUUAUGUUCAGGGCUACACACGUGCUACAAUGGCCGGCACAAAGAGAAGCGAAGCGGCGACGCGGAGCAAAUCAAGAAAACCGGUCCCAGUUCGGAUUGCAGGCUGAAACCCGCCUGCAUGAAGUCGGAGUUGCUAGUAAUCGCGGAUCAGAACGCCGCGGUGAAUACG